AUGCUGCACACCUGUGGUGGGGCCCUCGUGCAGGGAAUGCAGGGUUCUCGGGGUUCCCGGGGUUCUCCGGGUUCUCCGCGUUUGCUUACACAGUGUUCCCGUUUCUUAUGCGGGGUUCUCGGGGUUCUCUGGGUUCUCGGGGUUCUCCGUGUUCUUGGGGUUCUCAGGGUUCUCCGGGUUCUCGGGGUUCUCCGGGUUCUCGGGGUUCUCCGUGUUCUUGGGGUUCUCAGGGUUCUCCGGGUUCUCGGGGUUCUCCGGGUUCUCGGGGUUCUCCGUGUUCUUGGGGUUCUCAGGGUUCUCCGGGUUCUCGGGGUUCUCCGGUUCUCCGUGUUUUUUACACAAUGUUCCCGUUUCUUAUGCGGGGUUCUCAGGGUUCUCCGGAUUCUCCAUGUUCUUCGGGUUCUCAGGGUUCUCUGGGUUCUCGGGGUUCUCCAGUUCUCUGUGUUUUUUACACAAUGUUCCCGUUUCUUAUGCAGGGUUCUCGGGGUUCUCCGGGUUCUCGGGGUUCUCCAGUUCUCCGUGUUUUUUACACAGUGUUUCCAUUUCUUAUGCGGGGUUCUCGGGGUUCUCCGGGUUCUCGGGGUUCUCCGGUUCUCCGUGUUUUUUACACAAUGUUCCCGUUUCUUAUGCAGGGUUCUCGGGGUUCUCCGGGUUCUCGGGGUUCUCAGGGUUCUCGGGGUUCUCCGGUUCUCCGUGUUUUUUACACAAUAUUCCCGUUUCUUAUGCGGGGUUCUCAGGGUUCUCCGGAUUCUCCAUGUUCUUCGGGUUCUCAGGGUUCUCUGGGUUCUCGGGGUUCUCCAGUUCUCUGUGUUUUUUACACAAUGUUCCCGUUUCUUAUGCAGGGUUCUCGGGGUUCUCCGGGUUCUCAGGGUUCUUGGGGUUCUCCAGUUCUCCGUGUUUUUUACACAGUGUUCCCGUUUCUUUUCCCGAAUCAGCAAACACUCCUUGCAGAUAAAACAGCUCAGAUGGGGGAGCAGGAGCCCAGAGGCUGGGGCAGCACCUUGA
This 1005-nucleotide long non-coding RNA is filed under the name Callithrix jacchus (white-tufted-ear marmoset). RNAcentral's name for it is "lncRNA (ENSCJAG00000070698.1)". Lineage: Eukaryota; Metazoa; Chordata; Mammalia; Primates; Cebidae. The record is from RNAcentral.